CGUUAGCGGCGGACGGGUGAGUAACACGUGGGUAACCUACCUAUAAGACUGGAAUAACUCCGGGAAACCGGGGCUAAUGCCGGAUAACAUGUUGAACCGCAUGGUUCUACAGUGAAAGACGGUCUUGCUGUCACUUAUAGAUGGACCCGCGCCGUAUUAGCUAGUUGGUGGGGUAACGGCCUACCAAGGCGACGAUACGUAGCCGACCUGAGAGGGUGAUCGGCCACACUGGAACUGAGACACGGUCCAG
This 250-nucleotide ribosomal RNA is filed under the name uncultured bacterium. RNAcentral describes it as "partial 16S ribosomal RNA". It matches the Rfam family "Bacterial small subunit ribosomal RNA", at positions 90 to 334 of the family's 1533-position model. The record is from RNAcentral.